Molecule: transfer RNA, 541 nt
Filed under: uncultured Prochlorococcus sp.
Lineage: Bacteria; Bacillati; Cyanobacteriota; Cyanophyceae; Synechococcales; Prochlorococcaceae
Description: partial 16S-23S ribosomal RNA intergenic spacer
Rfam family: tRNA (bases 212-284)
Source: RNAcentral
CAGGGAGACAACAAAAAGUUUAAUAUUAUUAUUUUGUCACCUUAGGUCGAUCGGUAUCUCACGUUCUUAAUUUAUUAAGAAUUUUAUUUCCUAAGUUUUUCUAGGUCACACCCAUUAUUUUUCCUGGGCCAUUAGCUCAGGUGGUUAGAGCGCACCCCUGAUAAGGGUGAGGUCCCUGGUUCAAGUCCAGGAUGGCCCAUAUCUCUAUGUUGGGGGUAUAGCUCAGUUGGUAGAGCGCCUGCUUUGCAAGCAGGAUGUCAGCGGUUCGAGUCCGCUUACCUCCACUGAUUACCACCUCUUCCAUAAUCUGUAGUAAGGAAAAAUUUUGAGUUGUGAUUUUUAUUCUGAACGAAUCUAGCUUCCUAAUGAAACCAUUAAGAUGCUGGACUCAUUGAAUUAAUUUCUUUGUUUUCAGAGAACCUUGACAACUGCAUAGAUUAUUUUUAAAGACAAUAAGCAUCUUUAAUGAUGCGGAUUUAUUAUUUUUGCAAAUGCAUUAAUAACAAUUCUAUUAAGCUGAUGCUUCAAUUUUGAAGUUAUU